GACGAACGCUGGCGGCGUGCUUAACACAUGCAAGUCGAACGGAAAGGCCUUUUCGGAGGUACUCGAGUGGCGAACGGGUGAGUAACACGUGGGUGAUCUGCCCUGCACUCUGGGAUAAGCCUGGGAAACUGGGUCUAAUACCGGAUAGGACCGCACUUUAGUGUGUGUGGUGGAAAGUUGUUUCGGUGUAGGAUGAGCCCGCGGCCUAUCAGCUUGUUGGUGGGGUAAUGGCCUACCAAGGCGGCGACGGGUAGCCGGACUGAGAGGUUGGUCGGCCACAUUGGGACUGAGAUGCGGCCCAGACUCCUACGGGAGGCAGCAGUGGGGAAUAUUGCACAAUGGGCGCAAGCCUGAUGCAGCGACGCCGCGUGGGGGAUGACGGCCUUCGGGUUGUAAACUCCUUUCGCCAGGGACGAAGCGUUUUGUGACGGUACCUGGAGAAGAAGCACCGGCUAACUACGUG
This 463-nucleotide ribosomal RNA is filed under the name uncultured bacterium. RNAcentral describes it as "partial 16S ribosomal RNA". It matches the Rfam family "Bacterial small subunit ribosomal RNA", at positions 28 to 507 of the family's 1533-position model. The record is from RNAcentral.